RNAcentral lists this ribosomal RNA (830 nucleotides) under Chilostoma achates cingulinum. RNAcentral describes it as "Chilostoma achates cingulina partial large subunit ribosomal RNA". The stretch from base 339 to 830 matches the Rfam family "Archaeal large subunit ribosomal RNA", at positions 1423 to 2688 of the family's 2987-position model. Lineage: Eukaryota; Metazoa; Mollusca; Gastropoda; Stylommatophora; Helicidae. The record is from RNAcentral.
AUUUAUUACACUUUUGCUUGUUAAGCAGUGCACGAAACAAUGCGAGCUAAAUAGAUAACUCUUUAUAGGAUUUGGCAGGCUGUGUUGCAAAACAGCGCCAUUAUGUUUAUUUAGUAGUGAAAGGCUAAUCAUGUAUUGAGAUAUCUUGUUGCGUAAUUUAAAUAUUAAGUAUUGCCUAGUCAAACUAAUAAAGCCAAGUUUCUUAGUAUGCAUCUCGAAAAAUUCGCUAGCACAUCAAAGUUUAACCACUAGUAAAUGAAAAUAAUAAAUAUUAAUUAUUUUAUAUAAUGUUAUUCCUUAUGCCUAAUAAACCUAUAUAAAAGUUUACAAUGUAAAUAUGAGUAUUAAAUCAUAUCUUCUUAAGGAACUCGGCAAAUAGUUGCUCGACUGUUUAUCAAAAACAUAAUUAUAUGUUAUUAUAUAUAACUAUUUCUGCUCAAUGGAUAUACUAAAUAGCCGCAGUACCUUGACUGUGCAAAGGUAGCAUAAUCAGUUGACUUAUAAUUGAAGUCUGGCAUGAACGAAUUUACGGGUAACGACUGUCUUGGGAAGAAAUUAGAGAAUUUAAUUAUCAAGUGCAAAUGCUUGGUGAUUUAAAAUAGACGAGAAGACCCUAGAAACUUUAAAAUUUUGUUGGGGCGGCAGAAUUACACGGAACUUAUUUUAAUAUUACGUGAAGCGAAGAAGAAAGAUUAAGUUACUCUAGGGAUAACAGCAUAAUUUAUAAUAGUUUGUGACCUCGAUGUUGGACUAGGUAAUAUAGUUUUUAGAAGAAACUAUUGGUUGCUCUGUUCGAGCAGUUUUACCUACAUGAUCUGAGUUCAGACCGG